AAAGAAACUCAAAAUCCUUCAUUCAUUCAAUUCAAAACAGAGUACAAGGAUUGAGUACAAAAUAUUCUUUCAAACAUAAAGGAAAGUACAAAAUGACAUGGUUAGACUGUAGGCUUCUGUUUGUUGAGCUCUUCCAACUCUCCUUUGAACCUUUUCAUCAUGUCUUCACAAAGAUAAAUAAAGUCGGUCACUGAAGGAGGGAUGUUG
Molecule: long non-coding RNA, 207 nt
Filed under: Lathyrus oleraceus (garden pea)
Lineage: Eukaryota; Viridiplantae; Streptophyta; Magnoliopsida; Fabales; Fabaceae
Description: Pisum sativum (pea) long non-coding RNA (PSAT_LNC013819)
Source: RNAcentral